UCGAGAAUUUUUCACAAUGGGCGCAAGCCUGAUGGAGCGACGCCGCGUGGGGGAUGAAGGGCUUCGGCUCGUAAACCCCUGUCAUUUGUGACCAAGGCUGCCGGUUGAAUAGAUCGGCAGUUUGAUGGUAGCGAAAGAGGAAGGGACGGCUAACUCUGUGCCAGCAGCCGCGGUAAUACAGAGGUCCCAAGCGUUGUUCGGAUUCACUGGGCGUAAAGGGUGCGUAGGUGGUUAGGUAAGUCUGAUGUGAAAUCUCCGAGCUUAACUCGGAAACUGCAUCGGAAACUACCUGGCUAGAGGAUUGGAGGGGAGACUGGAAUUCUCGGUGUAGCAGUGAAAUGCGUAGAUAUCGAGAGGAACACCGGUGGCGAAGGCGAGUCUCUGGACAAUUCCUGACACUGAGGCACGAAAGCUAGGGGAGCAAACAGGAUUAGAUACCCUGGUAGUCCUAGCUGUAAACGGUGCACGUUUGCUGUAAUCGGAAUCGA
RNAcentral lists this ribosomal RNA (488 nucleotides) under uncultured Verrucomicrobiota bacterium. Its description in RNAcentral is "bacterial SSU rRNA". It matches the Rfam family "Bacterial small subunit ribosomal RNA", at positions 355 to 835 of the family's 1533-position model. Lineage: Bacteria; Pseudomonadati; Verrucomicrobiota. The record is from RNAcentral.